GUGAAUCAUCAAAUCUUUGAACGCAAAUUGCACUCCCUGGUAUUCCGGGGAGUAUGCCUGUUUGAGGGUCGUUAGUACAAAAAUCGAAGCGUCGCUCUUUUUUUUUAAGGUUGAUGGCGUCGGGAUUGAUCCGUCUUUUAAAUGUUAAUUCAUGUAAAAGUGGUUUGUAAUUCAUUUAUCCGGUACGAUUAAAUCGUAUUUAAGAUCAAAUUUGUUUAAG
Molecule: unclassified non-coding RNA, 220 nt
Filed under: Funneliformis mosseae
Lineage: Eukaryota; Fungi; Glomeromycota; Glomeromycetes; Glomerales; Glomeraceae
Description: partial contains 5.8S ribosomal RNA and internal transcribed spacer 2
Rfam family: 5.8S ribosomal RNA (bases 1-71)
Source: RNAcentral